This is a long non-coding RNA of Mesocricetus auratus (golden hamster), 1478 nucleotides long. RefSeq lists it as uncharacterized. The record is from RefSeq and is a predicted model, not a curated record. Lineage: Eukaryota; Metazoa; Chordata; Mammalia; Rodentia; Cricetidae. The transcript is spliced from 2 exons.
ACUAAAAGAACAAAAUUAUGAAAAUAUGUGACACGUAUUUGUUCUGUUUUGCUUUACUGUAUUUAUUUAGAGCAUGUGUCAGUGGGCACUCUCACACACCCUCAGGAAUCACUUCUUUGCUUUCACUAUGCGUAGGCCCAGGGAACGAACUCGGGUCAUCAGGCUUGGUGGCAAGCAAGCCCCUCCAUCCACUAUGCCAUCUUGCUGACCCGUUUGCUUUUGAGACAGGAUCUCAUUUGGCUCAGGCUGCCUUCCAACUUACCGUAUAGCCAAGGAUGACUUUGAAUUGCUCCUUCCUCUGCCUCACUGGUCUAAGCAUGGAUAAGCAUGUGCCACCAAAUCUGGUGUAUGUAAAGCUGAGUACUGAUCUCAGAACUUCACACUUCACACAUGCUAGACAUAUACCCUACCCUACCAACUGUACACACAUUAGAGUGUAUAUACUUCAAGCUGGCCUUAAAUUACCAAUCCUCCUGACACUAGCUUCUCAAAUGAUAGGGUUAUAGGUGUCCCACACCUGGGUUAACAGAUGGGUCAUUUAAUUUUUUGGGACAAGAUGUAUAUAUGUAUAUAUGUAGCAAAGGCUGGUCUCAAACUCCAAAUACUCUGCUUAUGUCUCCCAAGUGCUGGGAGCAAAAAAAAAAAAAAAAAAAAAAAAACAUCAAUAAGAGCCUAUACCAGUGACUAGAAGGUGGCAGCAAGGAGAUCAUCAGGAGUAUGAGACCAACUGACAUGAUACUCCAUCUCAAAAGGGCGGGGAGGGGCAGGACAACGUGAAGAGACAAGAGGCCUGGAGACGGCUGAGGUCAUCUAGCACCAUGAGGCACUGUGUUCAACCUCAAUGCCACACAUUCAAGCUAAGGGUUAUUUCUGAAUUAAUUACAGAAUUUUAAAAUAGAAGUCAGAAUUCACUGGUGCAUACCUAACUAUGGUCCUAUCACUUGAGAAGCUGAGGCAGGAGGAAUGUAAUUUGAGGCCAGCCUGGGCUAUGGAGUAAGUCUCUGUCUCAUAGCCCACCCUUCAUAGUGAAAAUAAACUGACUACCUGAGAGCUCUGCUAAACUGACUUACACAGACCUGACUGUUAGUAAGCCCAGCUGCUGUUGCCACUGCAUAGACAUUCAGAGCAAACUCAAACCUUCAGAGGGAUCCUGUGCUCUCAGGCUCUCCACGACUUUGUUCCCCAGGGCAGCAACAGCUUCCACUAGAUUGGAAAAAAAUGAGUGACUGUUACAGUAAUGUAAACAAACUGACAUUUCCAUUUCUACCCCACAGACUGAAGACUAUUCAACUAGAAUGAACACUCUUGCCAGGGGGAACGAAAGCCUAGAAGUCUCAAGCAACAAGAAUCCCCAGGGAGUAAAACUGAUUCCAGUUGAUGGAUGUGGACUGCAGUACUGGCCAUAACUUCUUCUAGACAAGCACUGCAGUUUGUCCUUAUCACUGCAAUUGCAUUAAAAAAUAAAAAUUAAGAAAACA